Long non-coding RNA from Populus euphratica (Euphrates poplar), 564 nucleotides. RefSeq lists it as uncharacterized. NCBI's taxonomy places the organism in Eukaryota, Viridiplantae, Streptophyta, Magnoliopsida, Malpighiales, Salicaceae. The record is from RefSeq and is a predicted model, not a curated record. The transcript is spliced from 3 exons.
GAGGAAAGGUUUACAUGAGAGAGAAUGACAAAGACAUCAGUCUGACCUUAUCACAAGCUCACAACAUCAUCGUCUACCUUAGUUCACUCCUAAAAUACGGCACUGGCUUCUUCAAUCUUAACAUCUAAAAUCCUGAAGAAUCUUUGGUAGAGAGAUGAGCGACCCCAAGUAUGGUUAUCCUUACCCUGCCCAAGGUUAUUAUCAAGGACCUCCAGUGAUGGCACCUCCACAAUAUUACGCCGCUCCACCGCCUCGGAGAGAGCCUGGUUUCCUUGAGGGAUGCCUUGCAGCUUUGUGCUGUUGCUGCCUUAUUGACGAGUGUUGCUGCGACCCUUCCUUCUUUUUCUGACUGAGCUAGAUAUCAUGCUGCUUCUAAGAAUAGUUAUAGCUACGUGAUAAAUGUUGAGUAUUAGUGUAUUGAUGAAUGCUGUUGUUUAUUGGCUUGGAGCGUUUUACUCCCAUGUUUAGUACAUGUGGACAUCAAGAAUCUUAGUUUUAAUUCUCUUAACUUGAUGGAUUUAAAUUGGCUUGAAAUUAAAUUGUCUAAUAAGGAUGUGUUUGUUA